This 492-nucleotide ribosomal RNA is filed under the name uncultured bacterium. RNAcentral's name for it is "partial 16S ribosomal RNA". It matches the Rfam family "Bacterial small subunit ribosomal RNA", at positions 29 to 507 of the family's 1533-position model. The record is from RNAcentral.
AGUGAACGCUGGCGGUAGGCCUAACACAUGCAAGUCGAACGGCAGCACAGUAAGAGCUUGCUCUUACGGGUGGCGAGUGGCGGACGGGUGAGGAAUACAUCGGAAUCUACUUUUUCGUGGGGGAUAACGUAGGGAAACUUACGCUAAUACCGCAUACGACCUACGGGUGAGAGCAAGGGAUCUUCGGACCUUGCGCGAUUGAAUGAGCCGAUGUCGGAUUAGCUAGUUGGCGGGGUAAAGGCCCACCAAGGCGACGAUCCGUAGCUGGUCUGAGAGGAUGAUCAGCCACACUGGAACUGAGACACGGUCCAGACUCCUACGGGAGGCAGCAGUGGGGAAUAUUGGACAAUGGGCGCAAGCCUGAUCCAGCCAUACCGCGUGGGUGAAGAAGGCCUUCGGGUUGUAAAGCCCUUUUGUUGGGAAAGAAAAGCAGCAGGUUAAUACCCCGCUGUUCUGACGGUACCCAAAGAAUAAGCACCGGCUAACUUCGUG